AUUGAACGCUGGCGGAAUGCUUUACACAUGCAAGUCGAACGGCAGCACGGACUUCGGUCUGGUGGCGAGUGGCGAACGGGUGAGUAAUAUAUCGGAACGUGCCUAGUCGUGGGGGAUAACGUAGUGAAAAUUACGCUAAUACCGCAUACGAUCUAAGGAUGAAAGCGGGGGAUCGCAAGACCUCGCGCGAUUGGAGCGGCCGAUAUCAGAUUAGGUAGUUGGUGAGGUAAAGGCUCACCAAGCCGACGAUCUGUAGCUGGUCUGAGAGGACGACCAGCCACACUGGAACUGAGACACGGUCCAGACUCCUACGGGAGGCAGCAGUGGGGAAUUUUGGACAAUGGACGCAAGUCUGAUCCAGCCAUUCCGCGUGCAGGAUGAAGGCCCUCGGGUUGUAAACUGCUUUUGUACGGUAACGAAAAGGUCUCUAUUAAUACUAGGGCUCAUGACGGUACCGUAAGAAUAAGCACCGGCUAACUACGUGCCAGCAGCC
Molecule: ribosomal RNA, 493 nt
Filed under: uncultured bacterium
Lineage: Bacteria
Description: bacterial SSU rRNA
Rfam family: Bacterial small subunit ribosomal RNA
Source: RNAcentral